UGUUUGUUUGUUUGUUCCUGCCACACUGUAGAUUCCGAGUCUAAGGAACUGUUUUUAAUAGAUACUGUAGAAGUUUUUAAAAAUGGAUAUCUGAUGAGGAAAGAGGCUGAUACAAAACAGUAUUUUGCAGCUUCGCAAAACAAAACUCCCGAGGAACUCGCACUAUUUCAGUAAAGUCCCGAAGAAUCGCUUUCGGAAUUCAGUUCCUCGUCUUGAACGACCCUUUCCUACACCGCAAAGAAAUACUGGUCCCUGUUUGAUUCCUCCCCCCCAAACUAGUGAAUGUGUUUAAAAGUUGUCACCUACCUACCUGUGCGCGCGCGCGCACACACACACACACACACACACACACACACACACACACACGGUCUUUCCCCGCGUGUUGCCAGUCUUUCUUCGCCUGUGCUUCUCGAUUUUGCUGGAAACGGAAAGGGUAGGUCAAGUGCACCGAAAUACACCGCCAAUGUCUUUGACACUUGGUCGUACUCUAGUGCUUCACGUCAAAUGCAAGCGUGGGACUCGUACUAUUUGAGAGUGUCUGGUUAUUUUUUCAACUGUUUUGGUGCAUACAGGCGUUUUCUCGGCUUCCCGGUGAAUCACGGAUCUCUGACCACUCUAACUCGAGGGCGCACAGAACCUUCCUGUGUCACACCUUCUCCAACUCUCCUCCUUGGGGAUGCUCUGAACCGGUAGAGGGACCAGGGGACGUCAGGGAAGGAGCGCUCCUAGGGCAAGGCAGAGGCGGCCCGGGUCUUCGCACAAGCAUUGCCUCAGUCGGGUUGUGUUUGAAGAAUUACUGGGGCUAUUGUGACAACCGAGGAAAAAGAAAUCGAAUGAUGUGUCUACAUUGGAUGAGAACUAAACACUAAAACAAUAGUGGAGAUGCCACAGAAGAUCAGUGCAAAAGCGCCCCCUCCUAACUGAGCAGACAGCUCUCCUGCCGGGUGAUGUUUCCAGUAGAAAGUGGAGUUGGAGAUCCUGCCUCCACUGGAGCAAUGGGAGAUGUUACCCUGAGGCUACGGGAAGGAGGAGGUUCGAAUGUCAUUGUGCAGAGAGGGCAGGAGUGAAUUAGAGCCCCGGGGACGGCGGACGCGGGGCAAGGAGACCGCCUGAAAUACAAGCCGAACCUGUUCUAAAAAGCCAAGUCAGUGGAAGGAAAGUCCUGUGUGCUCAAGAUGAAGAAUUUGAAGGCAGGUGGGCCAGCAGACAGAGGGGUGGGUGCUGGGCAGCCCAGCCAGGCACCCUGGAGCCCAGCUCUCCUGCCUGUGCCUCUGCCACCUGCUACUCCAGCCCCGAGGUCCGCUUCAGCCCCACUUGCCCCCACCAACCUCCCUCUCUGCAUCCCGCCGCGCAAAGAAAGUUCUUGGGACUUGAUGCAUAAAAAGGCUCCAGUGGACCCCUGAGGAUAGGUGUCUGUUGAAGACCUGCGUGCGAGAAACUGUUGUCUUUCCAACUCCAUCUUUAGGCACAAUGGUCAGCUGAGUGACAUCAUUAAUAGAAGUAUCUAUUUUAGAAGCUCUGCUUCUGGAAGUGGAAUUAAAAAGGAGGUGUAACCCAGAGUUUAAGAUACCCACUGAUAAUGAGGGUAUUUGAGUGAUGGUAAUUGGUGAGGAGAAAAACUUAAAGAUCUAUCUAGAAACCAACCCUCACACUCCAGGCAUGUUGCCAGAUAAAGACUAAACAGAGCGGGUAAAAUGGCAAGAAAAAUAUGGCCCUUGGUUUUCUCAUUGCCAUAAGAGCCAUUGGGAAGAGCUUAAAGAGAUACACCAAUCCCGAGUGGUAACGUUAGAUUUCGCGUUCUGUGACUGAAGACUUUUGCCACUAUAGCCUGGAGACCAGGGCCCUCGUCUUCAACAAGGUGCCACCAGCCGUCUGGUCUACCGUCACGGCCAGCGCAGUAAGUGAGGCUGCGGGACAGUCAUCCCCUUACGUCCGACACCGCUCUUGGACCCAGAUCGGUAAUUCAACGACGCUGUUUCUUUCUUUUAGACUAAGACAUGGAACCUCUUUAGCCUUGAGGAUGACAAUUUCGUCAGCCAUAUGUGCUUGAUUUUUGUACGCCCACACAGGACUUGGAAGUACGCAACCAAACUACAAAAUACAGCGGCAGCUUCUUCCUCCGGGAAAUGUCCAUCCAUUUAAUGACUAAAACUUGCUUCAUGUUGGUGUCUUUGUGAGUAGACUCUUCCAGAUGACACGGGCCAGUCUGUGGAUUAUUCCAUUAUUUCAAUGACACUGAACAUGUCCCUUUCAACUGUCAAGCUGUGUCACCCCAAACCUAAGACAAUGAGUAAAUUACACUGGUUCAGUCAGUGAAUAAAUCGGCCAAAAUGGUUGCAUGACUGAACCAAGUCAUCUGACACAUUUGGCAUAACUGAGACAUUGAAGGAAAUUCGAAGAAAGAAAAUGGUAUUGACCUGGGAGACAUGAGUGUGUCUCUGAGUGUGUUUCCUUUUCUAUAAAAUGGGUACAUUAGUACUUUGUCCAGAUGGGUUGUAGGAAAGGUUAGAAAUAAUGCAUAUAAAGUAUCUAACAUGUAGCAGACACUUGGUAAAUGGUCGCUGUAAUUUAUUAUUAUUAUUAUUAUAUUAAAAGUUCAAGUUACUUCGAAGAAAUUAAGCAAUUACUGGCCUGUGCAGAUUUUUUUGAAAAAAGCUCUAUUGCUGCUUUAUUUAACCAACUUUACUAUAAUGGCAAGGGGUAGUUUAAAGCUGGAUUAAUCCAAGUUGUUAAGUAACUUGACUUGAA
Ailuropoda melanoleuca (giant panda) is the source of this 2748-nucleotide long non-coding RNA. RefSeq lists it as uncharacterized. Lineage: Eukaryota; Metazoa; Chordata; Mammalia; Carnivora; Ursidae. The record is from RefSeq and is a predicted model, not a curated record. The transcript is spliced from 7 exons.